Molecule: ribosomal RNA, 757 nt
Filed under: Weintrauboa yele
Lineage: Eukaryota; Metazoa; Arthropoda; Arachnida; Araneae; Pimoidae
Description: eukaryotic LSU rRNA
Rfam family: Eukaryotic large subunit ribosomal RNA
Source: RNAcentral
GAAGAGAGAGUUCAAGAGUACGUGAAACUGCUCAGAGGUAAACGGGUGGGCCCUCGAAAUCCUGUGGCGGGAAGAUUCAGUCGGGAGGCUCGGACGUGGCGCUGGAAUAUCACAAGAAGGUUCCCGGAGAGGGGCCGUUCCGGUGCCGCGCUUCUGGGACACCCGACGCAUUUGUUUCCCGCCCGAAGGACGCCGCAACCGGUUGGGACGCGGCCUUAAGGAUGGGAGAUGGCAGGUGGCCGGUGGCGCUCCUCGUGGGCGUCGCCGGUUGUUAGCCGUCCCGUCGCACGGCACGCGACCCGACCGUGGUAUCACGAGGCCCUUGUGGGCUUCUCCGCCUCCUCCUUAACGGGACGGCGGGUAGAAACGUGGCAGGAGCACGACCCUCUGCGGGCGCACGGACUGACUCCGUGGCCCAGCGUUGGGUUGUCUUCGUUGGUCGCGCAGUGCCCGUUGGAGUGUCGGCGGUUGGCGGCGAGUAGAUCGGUCACCCACCCGACCCGUCUUGAAACACGGACCAAGGAGUCUAACAUGUGUGCGAGUCAAUGGGUCUCGAAUAAGCCCAGAGGCGCAAUGAAAGCAAAGGCCGGAAUCACUCCGGCUGUGUUGGGACCCUGCCCCUUCGCGGGUGGGGCGCACCAACGACCCGUCCUGUUCCACUUGUGGAUUGGGCGGAGUCUGAGCAUACACGUUGGGACCCGAAAGAUGGUGAACUAUGCCCGGACAGGACGAGGCCAGAGGAAACUCUGGUGGAGGU